Molecule: ribosomal RNA, 484 nt
Filed under: uncultured bacterium
Lineage: Bacteria
Description: partial 16S ribosomal RNA
Rfam family: Bacterial small subunit ribosomal RNA
Source: RNAcentral
GAUGAACGCUGGCGGCGUGCUUAACACAUGCAAGUCGAACGGUGAAGCAGGAGCUUGCUCUUGUGGAUCAGUGGCGAACGGGUGAGUAACACGUGAGCAACCUGCCCCUGACUCUGGGAUAAGCGCUGGAAACGGCGUCUAAUACUGGAUAUGUGAUGUGACCGCAUGGUCUGCAUCUGGAAAGAAUUUCGGUUGGGGAUGGGUUCGCGGCCUAUCAGCUUGUUGGUGAGGUAAUGGCUCACCAAGGCGUCGACGGGUAGCCGGCCUGAGAGGGUGACCGGCCACACUGGGACUGAGACACGGCCCAGACUCCUACGGGAGGCAGCAGUGGGGAAUAUUGCACAAUGGGCGGAAGCCUGGUGCAGCAACGCCGCGUGAGGGAUGACGGCCUUCGGGUUGUAAACCUCUUUUAGCAGGGAAGGAGCGAAAGUGACGGUACCUGCAGAGAAAGCACCGGCUAACUACGUGCCAGCAGCCGCCGUAA